CUAUACGGUGAACUGCGAAUGGCUCAUUAAAUCAGUUAUCGUUUAUUUGAUAGUACCUUACUACAUGGAUAACCGUGGUAAUUCUAGAGCUAAUACAUGCUAAAAACCCCGACUUCGGAAGGGGUGUAUUUAUUAGAUAAAAAACCAAUGCCCUUCGGGGCUCCUUGGUGAAUCAUAAUAACUUAACGAAUCGCAUGGCCUUGCGCCGGCGAUGGUUCAUUCAAAUUUCUGCCCUAUCAACUUUCGAUGGUAGGAUAGUGGCCUACCAUGGUAUCAACGGGUAACGGGGAAUUAGGGUUCGACUCCGGAGAGGGAGCCUGAGAAACGGCUACCACAUCCAAGGAAGGCAGCAGGCGCGCAAAUUACCCAAUCCCGACACGGGGAGGUAGUGACAAUAAAUACUGAUACAGGGCUCUUUUGGGUCUUGUAAUUGGAAUGAGUACAAUUUAAAUCCCUUAACGAGGAACAAUUGGAGGGCAAGUCUGGUGCCAGCAGCCGCGGUAAUUCCAGCUCCAAUAGCGUAUAUUAAAGUUGUUGCAGUUAAAAAGCUCGUAGUUGAACCUUGGGCCUGGCUGGCCGGUCCGCCUCACCGCGUGUACUGGUCCGGCCGGGCCUUUCCUUCUGGGGAACCUCAUGCCCUUCACUGGGCGUGCUGGGGAACCAGGACUUUUACUUUGAAAAAAUUAGAGUGUUCAAAGCAGGCCUUUGCUCGAAUACAUUAGCAUGGAAUAAUAGAAUAGGACGUGUGGUUCUAUUUUGUUGGUUUCUAGGACCGCCGUAAUGAUUAAUAGGGAUAGUCGGGGGCAUCAGUAUUCAAGCGUCAGAGGUGAAAUUCUUGGAUUGCUUGAAGACUAACUACUGCGAAAGCAUUUGCCAAGGAUGUUUUCAUUAAUCAGUGAACGAAAGUUAGGGGAUCGAAGACGAUCAGAUACCGUCGUAGUCUUAACCAUAAACUAUGCCGACUAGGGAUCGGGCGGUGUUAGUAUUUUGACCCGCUCGGCACCUUACGAGAAAUCAAA
This 1019-nucleotide ribosomal RNA is filed under the name Cladosporium sphaerospermum. RNAcentral's name for it is "SSU rRNA". It matches the Rfam family "Eukaryotic small subunit ribosomal RNA", at positions 74 to 1102 of the family's 1831-position model. The record is from RNAcentral. Lineage: Eukaryota; Fungi; Ascomycota; Dothideomycetes; Cladosporiales; Cladosporiaceae.